Molecule: ribosomal RNA, 465 nt
Filed under: uncultured bacterium
Lineage: Bacteria
Description: partial 16S ribosomal RNA
Rfam family: Bacterial small subunit ribosomal RNA
Source: RNAcentral
GACGAACGCUGGCGGCGUGCUUAACACAUGCAAGUCGAACGGAAAGGCGCUGCUUGCAGGGUACUCGAGUGGCGAACGGGUGAGUAACACGUGGGUGAUCUGCCCUGCACUUCGGGAUAAGCCUGGGAAACUGGGACUAAUACCGGCUAGGAGCCAUUUUUAGUGUGAUGGUUGGAAAGUUUUUUCGGUGUAGGAUGAGCUCGCGGGCUAUCAGCUUGUUGGUGGGAUAAUGGCCUACCAAGGCGGCGGCGGGUAGCCGGACUGAGAGGGUGGACGGCCACACUGACUCUGAGGGACGGCACAAAUGCCGACGGGAGGCAACAGGGCGGAAUCUUGCACCAUGGGCGCAAGCCUGAUGCAGCGGCGCCGCGUGUGGGAUGACGGCCUUCUGGUUGAAAACUCGUUUCGCUAGGGACUAAUCUGUUUGUGACGGUACCUAGAUAAGAAGCACCGGCUAACUACGUG